AUUGAACGCUGGCGGCAGGCUUAACACAUGCAAGUCGAGCGGGGGAAGGUAGCUUGCUACUGGACCUAGCGGCGGACGGGUGAGUAAUGCUUAGGAAUCUGCCUAUUAGUGGGGGACAACAUCUCGAAAGGGAUGCUAAUACCGCAUACGUCCUACGGGAGAAAGCAGGGGAUCUUCGGAACUUGCGCUAAUAGAUGAGCCUAAGUCGGAUUAGCUAGUUGGUGGGGUAAAGGCCUACCAAGGCGACGAUCUGUAGCGGGUAUGAGAGGAUGAUCCGCCACACUGGGCCUGAGACACGGCCCAGAAGCGUCCGGGAGGCAGGAGUGGGGAAUAUUGGACAAUGGGGGGAACCCUGAUCCAGCCAUGCCGCGUGUGUGAAGAAGGCCUUAUGGUUGUAAAGCACUUUAAGCGAGGAGGAGGCUACUCUAGUUAAUACCUAGGGAUAGUGGACGUUACUCGCAGAAUAAGCACCGGCUAACUCUGUGCCAGCCGCCGCAGUAA
RNAcentral lists this ribosomal RNA (501 nucleotides) under uncultured bacterium. RNAcentral's name for it is "partial 16S ribosomal RNA". It matches the Rfam family "Bacterial small subunit ribosomal RNA", at positions 30 to 523 of the family's 1533-position model. The record is from RNAcentral.